UCUAGGGGUUCCUCCUCCCGUCGUCCUCCCCGAGCCUCCGCGAAACCCUGAGAAACUCCCGCCCUGGAGCCGGGAAAAGGCCCACCGUCGGAUGUAGCUCCGCAUUGUCUAGCGUCGGCCGACGAGGGCGACAGAACACGGAGAGCGCGGGAGGGGCUUUAGCGUGGUUGUCACCAGAGCUGGGCGACCCUGAGCGGUGGCGGGCGGAGACGCCCGGCCUUCGGGGGAAGGAGGAGGCAGGCUUUUGCAGGCCCCAAAAGUUCGUCCCGAGGUCCGGUCGGGUCUUCGAUGAUUAUUACUGCAGGGGGUCAAUGAGAUCGGCCCCUCCCCACACGCCCCCACUCCCCAAUUACCAACUGCGGAGGGGGAGGGGCCACUGGGGCUCAGGUGAGCACACGGGGGAGAAAGGGCGUGGGCGGGGCCUUACGGAGAGUCAGCGAAUCCGGAAAGACCUAAGCCCUCGUUGCUCGGCGACAAGUCCCGCCCUGCAGGCGGCACCGGAAGUGGCAGGCCAGGAUCAGCCUUUAAGAUGGCGUCUCCUCAGGGGGGCCAGAUUGCGAUCGCGAUGAGGCUUCGGAACCAGCUCCAGUCAGUGUACAAGAUGGACCCGCUACGGAACGAGGAGGAGGUCCGAGUAAAGAUCAAAGACUUGAAUGAACACAUCGUCUGCUGCCUGUGCGCUGGCUACUUCGUGGAUGCCACCACCAUCACAGAGUGUCUCCAUACUUUCUGCAAGAGCUGUAUUGUGAAGUACCUCCAAACCAGCAAGUACUGCCCCAUGUGCAACAUCAAGAUCCACGAGACACAGCCACUGCUCAACCUCAAACUGGACCGGGUCAUGCAGGACAUCGUGUACAAGCUGGUGCCUGGCUUGCAAGACAGUGAAGAAAAACGGAUUCGAGAAUUCUACCAGUCCCGAGGCUUGGACCGAGUCACGCAGCCAGGAGGGGAAGAGCCAGCCCUGAGCAACCUCGGCCUCCCCUUCUGCAGCUUUGACCAUUCAAAAGCCCACUACUAUCGCUAUGAUGAGCAGCUGAGCCUGUGCCUGGAGCGGCUGAGUUCUGGCAAAGACAAGAAUAAAAGCGUCUUGCAGGUGAGAGGGGCUGUGGGAGGGCCUCUCAGGAGACUCACCUCCGCGGGGCCCUUCUCUCACACACCUUGUCUUCCCUUCCCUGCCCACCCUCAGAACAAAUAUGUCAGGUGUUCUGUUAGAGCUGAGGUCCGUCACCUCCGGAGGGUCCUCUGUCACCGCUUGAUGCUAAAUCCCCAGCAUGUGCAGCUCCUUUUUGACAAUGAAGUCCUCCCUGAUCACAUGACCAUGAAACAGAUCUGGCUCUCCCGAUGGUUCGGCAAGAAAUCCUCUGAGUGUCAUCAAGAAGGAUGACCCUCAGCAAAUGACCACAGGAGAGGGGUAGAGGACCCUACUUACGUAAAACCCAGUAAUGUUCUCGGCAAGAGAAAAUCCCAGAAGUGUGCGAGAUGGAUGGAUGCCCGCACCAAGCUCCUCUGCUUGGAGUUUCCCCCAUGAACUCCCACUUACCUCUCAUGCUGGCUAAAGGUACUGGGGCAAAGGGGGGGGGGCGUAUCUCCCAGACUGUCCUUUGCACCGCCCCAGGGGAGUUAUUCUGAGGAUUCCCCCACUACCUCCCCCCACACACGCACAAAAUUCAGAGGAUUGCCUACGGUGCAACAUCUGAAGACUAAAGGUAGUUUAUUGAGCAGAUUUCUGUACCAAGAAGAGGGGCCAAUCUGGGGCAGGCCUGGGUGAGGUUGAAGGGACUCACCAGAUGGGAGGCUGCGGAUGGCUGGGUGAGGGAGAGGCGCGGUGUCUGGGAAUGAGAGAAAAGGUGGGGGUGAUGAGGAAGGGGAAUAAGGCUGGAGAUAAGGUGCAGAGACGAGGAAAUGGAAGUCUGAAAGGGCCUGAUGGGAGGUGAGAGAAAGUAUUAA
Molecule: RNA transcript, 1947 nt
Organism: Myotis davidii
Lineage: Eukaryota; Metazoa; Chordata; Mammalia; Chiroptera; Vespertilionidae
Gene: PCGF1
Gene name: polycomb group ring finger 1
Exons: 9
Source: RefSeq, a predicted model, not a curated record